Alnus glutinosa is the source of this 394-nucleotide long non-coding RNA. RefSeq lists it as uncharacterized. Lineage: Eukaryota; Viridiplantae; Streptophyta; Magnoliopsida; Fagales; Betulaceae. The record is from RefSeq and is a predicted model, not a curated record. The transcript has 3 exons.
UUCAUCUCCCUCUCCCUUUCUUUUGCCCAGCCAAGUGACAACCCGAGAGAGAGAGAGGGAGGGAGGGAGAGAGAGAGAGAGAGACGCUGGGUUUGAGAAGAAAAAGAAGAAGAAAAGAAGAUGGGUUUUCGGCCAUGGGUUUUCAUGAGGUGGUUGGCUGAGUCAGGGCCUGCGAUUGAUGAAUUGUGGGUUGGGUAAUUUCCUCUCUUACAAUUGAGCUAACUUUUCAAAGAGCUGUGGGUUCUUUAAUUGUAAACCAAGAUUCAUGGAAUCUACCACUGCCAACACUCAUCUGCUUAUGUUAAAUUCUGGUUGCAUUAGUUAAAUUUUUGAUACACUUAAUGUCUUAUCAGAUUUUUGGAUCCAUCCAAUGUUUUAGAUGUAAUCUGACAAG